GAUGAACGCUGGCGGCGUGCCUAAUACAUGCAAGUCGAGCGAACAGAUGAGGAGCUUGCUCCUCUGACGUUAGCGGCGGACGGGUGAGUAACACGUGGAUAACCUACCUAUAAGACUGGGAUAACUUCGGGAAACCGGAGCUAAUACCGGAUAAUAUAUUGAACCGCAUGGUUCAAUAGUGAAAGACGGUUUUGCUGUCACUUAUAGAUGGAUCCGCGCCGCAUUAGCUAGUUGGUAAGGUAACGGCUUACCAAGGCAACGAUGCGUAGCCGACCUGAGAGGGUGAUCGGCCACACUGGAGCUGAGACACGGUCCAGACUCCUACGGGAGGCAGCAGUAGGGAAUCUUCCGCAAUGGGCGAAAGCCUGACGGAGCAACGCCGCGUGAGUGAUGAAGGUCUUCGGAUCGUAAAACGCUGUUAUUAGGGAAGAACAAAUGUGUAAGUAACUAUGCACGUCUUGACGGUACCUAAUCAGAAAGCCACGGCUAACUACGU
Molecule: ribosomal RNA, 496 nt
Filed under: uncultured bacterium
Lineage: Bacteria
Description: partial 16S ribosomal RNA
Rfam family: Bacterial small subunit ribosomal RNA
Source: RNAcentral